UUUUCAUUUGAUAAUAAAAUAAGAAGACAUUAAAAAAGUUAACCAAAUAAAAUCACAUUUCAAUUUUCUUAGAAAAUAACCCAUCCCAACUUCUUGCUGCGUUACAAAACAGCGCAUUAGGGUUACCAUCGUUAUCAAAAACAAUUCCGCCGCAUACGAGAGCGAAUUUGGGGAAGUCAUUCAUUCUACAUUUCGCCUCCAGUUAUCACAUAAAGCACAUGAAAUCAGUUGAAUUAGGGCUCAAAUCGUAUGAUUCUAGGUCUCAAAUCGUAUGAUGUGUUUAUAAGAAAGUGUGCUAUUGUGGCAUCGUUGUUCGAUGUGAAUGCCUGUGAUGGAGCUAUGGAUUAGAAGAAGCUGCUUAUUCUAUGGCCACCGGGACUUUGGAUUCGAGUGACGCAAGCUUUUUUUUUCCCUUGUCUAAUCUGGAAUCGCAGGUCGUAGCUUUUCAAAUCAGCUUUAGGUGAGGCACCGAAAGGUGGAUCUAGUGAGGCACUUGUUGCUUGAGCUCUAGGAAUUGAUGGUUUAACCCUUUUGUUGAGGUUGCCAGAAGGUGAAGCACCAAAAGGUUUUGGCUCAGGAAAAGGCUCACUAAUUGUAUAAGGUGUGUGUAUUUUUUUUUAACAUUAUUGUAUAUAGUUGGCAAUUAUUCUUAUAUUACUUUUCUUAUAUUGGGCUUAAGGAUAUCCGAAGGUCGCUUACUUGAAAACUCUCCCAUUGUCGUUUCCAAAGCUUUGAUGGCAAUAGUGUUAAUGGUAAUCUCAGGUGGACCUCAUCCCAAACAACAUCGGGACAUAGAUCCUCUUGUGAUAUCCAACCACUUCAACUUACAGACACCCAUUCUUUUGCCAUAGAUGAUGAACCCUCUUUGAUGGAAAUAAUGUCACUGGUAAUCUCAGGUGGACCCCAUCUCAAACAACAUCGAGACAUGGAUCAUCUUCUUGUCAUGUCAAACCACUUAAGCUUAUGGAUACCCUUUCUCUUACCAUAAAUGAAGAUGAUGACACUCCCCAUCAUACCAGUGAACCUUUUCCUGAGCCACCACUUUCUAUUGCUUUGCCUUCCGGUAACCCCAACAAAAGGGCUAAACCCUCAACUCCCAAAGCUCGAGCUCCUAGUGCCUCACCCGAUUCACCUUUCGGUGCCUCACCUACAUUUUCUAUUAGCGUUUUGACGAUUUAGCACCUGAUAUGUAAAAAGCUCUAUGACAUUUGAUUAAAGGGCUAAUACGAUAUAUAAUUGCUCAAUGUUUAAAGAAGUUAAGAGUUGCUUGAGUUAGGCUUGCUUAUCACAUUUUUGGAGGGACUAUAAAUGUGAGAGAGAUGUGGAUAAAUUUUCCCAAUGAUCCCGAAAUAUUAAGAUGAUGGAUCGAGAUGACUGGUACACAUUUAGUAGUUCUAAAGAACGAAAAGAUUGUCCGAUGAUUUUGUUUGUGUUGGAACCACUGUUGAAGGCUUUUGCUUGUGUUAGAACUAGUGUUUUUUUUUUUUUUUUUUUCUUUUUUUUUUUUUUUUAAAAUUCUUGUGUUGGAACACUUUGAUUAAUGUUAUUAUUAUUAUUUUUUGCCAUUUGAGUUUGGUUAAUGAUAUGUUUUUUGCUAAUUGAAUUUUGGUUGAUGUUAUGUUUUAAACUUCUAUUUUUGUUGAUUAAUAGGUUCAUAAUGAAUCAUGAUCAAAAUAUACUUCUUGUAAUUCCAAUCUACUUUUAUUUCCGUUAUUUUUUUAUGACGGGUGUGAAAUGAGUGCGAGACAAUUACUUGAAAAUGACGGGACAUGAAUACAUGUUAGAGUUAUUGGAACGUAAUCCUCCACAAUGUGUAGUACUACACAUGUUACGUGAAUCUUUUGUCCAAGUAUGUUGUUAACAUGUAUCGAUUGAUGUAAAGAUUGCUUUGUUUUUUAUGAUAAUUGGUCAUAAUUAAUUUUACGUGAUUAUCAAACGGAGUUUUCAACAUUCAAAGCAAACAAUUCAUAAUUUUUUUCAUGAAAUGUUGGACAAAAUAAUGCUAUGUAUAAAAGACAUUAUAGUACCAACUUUUUUUAAUGUGAAUCCAAACAUUUCUAGACAUGAUAAGAAGAUGACUGAUUUUCAAAUGAGCUAUUGGUGCACUUGAUGACACUAUGAUCCAUUUUAUCCCUGUUAAGAACAAGAUUUAUAGAGAUAGGGGAAAAGACGAUUGUUAUCAAAAUGUAUUGAUAGUUUGUCACUUCAACAUGAUUUUUACGUUUAUUGUGGCCGAUUGGGAAGGACUAACACAUGAUUCUACAAUAUUAUCAUAAGCAUUAGCAAAUCCACAUGUAUUAUUUUUGUUUCCACUACCACCCAAGUUUAUGGUUUCUUAAAUACUUUUAUCUUAGUUAAAAAACUGAUUAUUAUUUUUUUCUUUUUACCGAAAAAUAUUAUCUUUGUGAUGUCACGUAUGCUUACAUUCGGGGAUUUAUGGUCCCGUAUCGUAAUGUGAUGUAUUGGCUUGAAGAUUUUCGUCAAAGAUGUACAUUAACCAAUAAAGUAAAAUUUAACUAUGCACAUGCAAAACUUCGGUACAUCAUCGAGCGUGUUUUUGGUGUCUUGAAAGCAUGAUUCCCUGUACCGAUUGAUGAGUAUUUUGCACCAUAGUGUCUUGUUUUGAAAUGUGUUCGUUGAUGAUGAUGAAGACAAGGUUCCAACACAUGGAAUGAGUUAUUAUAAAAAGAAAAAUUUUGUUGUUGAAAAACUUAAGGUGUACGUCGACACACGUUCUUUAAAACCAUGAAUACUUUAAGCAUUAAUGAUCAACUCUUAUUUGCAACUUUUCAUAGUUAGACAUCUAGACAUGACUCACCGUUACACUACUAAUUAAAAAUGGUUUAAUUACAUAUAUGGUUAAAAGAACAACUAAUAACUUCUGGUGUUACUAAAUAAAGAUUAUACUUCUCAUAACAUUCACAUAAAGAAAAGUCGAUGAUGUAAGUUUUCAAUGAAAAAUCCUUUUGCUUAAGCAUUUAAUGCAUAAUGUUUGUAGUUUUGGUAAUUUAUGCUAAAUAACAAUGUAAUUAGAUUAUUGGCAACAUAUAUUAAGUUUGAUCCAAAAUAGCAUUCAACUUGCAUUUUUUUUUUUAUCGUUUAUGGCAACAUGAAACCCUCAUAAAAUAAUAUGUAAUAACUAGACAACGUGACACCUAACAGCUAACACAUAUACUAGGUUAUAUUUCGGCUCCUUAUACUUUUACCGGUGAAUGUUUAUAUACCUGAGUCCCAAAUCAUUUGCACAAUUUCAUGAGAAGAGGGAGCUACUUUAUUAGUUUCAUAACUUGAGAACACAUUCUCUUUGGGCUUUUUUUCCUAGUAUAUGUUCAUAAACUGGAGUCUUUUAUGUUAUUUCCUAAUAUGGGUUUGUAGAAAAUUCCAACUAAGUGCAAACAACUUACUCAACACUACAAAUAAUAUGUUAAUAACCAAUAUGAAGUUGACUAGAAAGUUGAUGACCAAUAUAGUGCUCCUGAAUAUAAAGUUAGUUGCUCAGAUAGGGACAUCAUAUGUGGUGAAUAGGACUUGAAAGUGGAUAGUGGUGCCUUACUUUCAGCCUUUCAGGCCGUCUCUUUAUUUUCUAGUCGGUAUUUAUUAAUAAUUGUUAGUAUACAUAUAUGGUUACUUCUUCAUAUGUAGAUGUGAAUGUAUUGUAUACUAAGCCUCCAAAAGAUAAGGAGGUCGGGUCUUAUAAAGAGCAAUAAUUUUAUCUUUUUGAGUAAGAGUCACCACCACUUACAGCCCCUCACCUACUUAUUAACCCAUAUUUGUUUUGCAACCAUUCAAAAAACAUGAACCCAUGAAGAACCACUCAUGGUCUAAUUCUUUUUAUCAUAUCACUUCAAGAAGCGAGGGCUAUGGGGACGACACAUAUUGUUCAUAUACACCGUCAUCAUAACUUCAUGGCCAUGGCGUCUUUUGUUGUCGACAUGUCAUAGUCGUAUGUAAAUUUUUAGGGAUGGCAUAUCAUCGUGAUAGUUUUGUCGCUAUAUCUUUUUAAGAAAUAAAAAAGACAGAUAUGUAUUGACGACGUGUUGCUAUAGAUUCAACUAUAGUGACGACAUGUUAUGGCUAUAUGUUGACCUUUGGUGACGACAUGUCAUGCUUGUAGGACAACCUAUAGCCACAACAUGUCGUCACAUCUUGUCGUCACUAUAGUCAUUGUACAAAUGUAUUUUUUGAUCCUCUUUUUUGUGCAUUUUACCUGGUUUUUCAAACGCAUUCCAAAGUAAAAUUAAUAACAAAAAACUUUAACAUAUUAUAAAAACUCAGUUUAGUUAUAAUACAAAUUUUAUACAAGUGGUUUAUCAAGUCAGUUAAAAUAUCUUGGGAAAUUGUUUUAAACUUUCAUAAAAUGUAACCAUACUACCUAAUUUAAUUGUCUUCGUCAAAACU
This is a non-coding RNA of Lactuca sativa (garden lettuce), 4398 nucleotides long. Lineage: Eukaryota; Viridiplantae; Streptophyta; Magnoliopsida; Asterales; Asteraceae. The record is from RefSeq and is a predicted model, not a curated record.